UUAAAUUGAAGAGUUUGAUCAUGGCUCAGAUUGAACGCUGGCGGCAGGCCUAACACAUGCAAGUCGAACGGUAACAGGAAACAGCUUGCUGUUUCGCUGACGAGUGGCGGACGGGUGAGUAAUGUCUGGGAAACUGCCUGAUGGAGGGGGAUAACUACUGGAAACGGUAGCUAAUACCGCAUAAUGUCGCAAGACCAAAGA
This 201-nucleotide ribosomal RNA is filed under the name Shigella sonnei. RNAcentral describes it as "partial 16S ribosomal RNA". It matches the Rfam family "Bacterial small subunit ribosomal RNA", at positions 1 to 207 of the family's 1533-position model. The record is from RNAcentral. Lineage: Bacteria; Pseudomonadati; Pseudomonadota; Gammaproteobacteria; Enterobacterales; Enterobacteriaceae.